UUACAACAAAACCAAAAGUUUUUACCUAGAGGAAGACCCUUCUUUUAAAAUAAAAACCGAACAGAGAAUGUAUUGCUUAGUUUGCUGCCCAAUGAGGGACUGAGAUGUUGGAUCAACCAGAAGAGAAGUUGCUUUCUGGAGGGCUAAGAAAAUUGAGCUGCACAACUAUGUGAUUGUUUUCUCAUACCUACCUACACCAUUCUCUACAGCCAUUACUUCAGUGCAAUUCCGGCACAAGAAGAAGUGGAUGAUGGAGAUAUAACUGAUGAUGUGGUGCCAAAUGAGGGUUGGUCGAUGCCAAGCUCCAGUCAGCGUGCAGCAAAGAUCCAGUGUGACUUUGCAUUUAAGAUUUUACAUCGCACUGGAUGUGCAAUCAGAACGAUAUUGGAUGAGAAAACCUAUCAUCAUGAGGAGGGUCUCAACUG
Long non-coding RNA from Gambusia affinis (western mosquitofish), 425 nucleotides. RefSeq lists it as uncharacterized. NCBI's taxonomy places the organism in Eukaryota, Metazoa, Chordata, Actinopteri, Cyprinodontiformes, Poeciliidae. The record is from RefSeq and is a predicted model, not a curated record. The transcript has 3 exons.